AUCCAGAUGACGAGUCCAAAACAAGACGAAAUGCGCUUUAUCCUGGAU
RNAcentral lists this non-coding RNA (48 nucleotides) under Trichobilharzia regenti. The record is from RNAcentral. Lineage: Eukaryota; Metazoa; Platyhelminthes; Trematoda; Strigeidida; Schistosomatidae.